Pantherophis guttatus is the source of this 712-nucleotide long non-coding RNA. RefSeq lists it as uncharacterized. NCBI's taxonomy places the organism in Eukaryota, Metazoa, Chordata, Lepidosauria, Squamata, Colubridae. The record is from RefSeq and is a predicted model, not a curated record.
UGGCAGUUGGAGUCUCGCUGGCUCAAGGUUGACUCAGCCUUCCAUCCUUAUUUAAAUAUGGGCUGAGGCGAGACAAUCGGUACAACACUAUUUUAUUAACAAAUGGCAGAACUGAACGAACGGCAACAAAACACCUGACAGCAUUUCUAUAUAUGCCGGCUGUCAAACCCAACCACCAAUCAGCUGGCACCUUUUCUGGGAGAUAACAACAUGGCUAUUCCCAUCCCAUGUUUCUCUGGCAAAAUAACUGUUAGAAUAUUAUAAACUGAAUUUUGGAGAUUAUAACUCAAAAUAUAUGUGCUGGUUUAUUCUUUCUCAGGAGAAGUGAUAAGCUAGAUAAGGAUGCUUGUGAACUAUAGAAGGCAGCGAUGCUGGUGAUCUUGGACAGAUCCUUCAGAAGUUCACCCUGAACCUAAUUGUAUUGAAAAUCUACAACACUACCUACAGUGAUUGAGAAGCUGGCAGGCCAUCAAUUACAAAGGAGUCUGGAAGAAAGGAUGCUGUAUUGGUCAUUCUUGUUGAUGAUACAUGAUGUUGGGAAACACCAGCCAGGCAGAGGGAAAAUCUCAAGUGGGGUAUUAGCCUCGAAUCUUUGAGCAGAUGCAAGAACUAACCCUCCUGAAGAAUCUUUUCUAUCUGUUCCUAAAAGAAGAUAGAAUUCUGGGGAGAUUCCUGUAUAAUAGGUAAAAUGUAAUAAAGUAGUUAGCUUGAA